UGCGUAGGCGGAUUAAUAAGUCAGUGGUGAAAUCUCCCGGCUCAACCGGGAAACUGCCAUUGAUACUGUUAGUCUAGAGUUUAGAUGAAGUGGGCGGAAUGUAGCAUGUAGCGGUGAAAUGCUUAGAUAUGCUACAGAACACCGAUUGCGAAGGCAGCUCACUAAACUAAAACUGACGCUCAUGCACGAAAGCGUGGGGAUCAAACAGGAUUAGAUACCCUGGUAGUCC
This 229-nucleotide ribosomal RNA is filed under the name uncultured bacterium. RNAcentral's name for it is "partial 16S ribosomal RNA". It matches the Rfam family "Bacterial small subunit ribosomal RNA", at positions 568 to 796 of the family's 1533-position model. The record is from RNAcentral.